This 1050-nucleotide long non-coding RNA is filed under the name Heterocephalus glaber (naked mole-rat). RNAcentral describes it as "lncRNA (ENSHGLG00000042911.1)". The record is from RNAcentral. Lineage: Eukaryota; Metazoa; Chordata; Mammalia; Rodentia; Bathyergidae.
CCAAGAAGCACAAGAACCCUAUCAUAAAGGGUUUGAAGGCUCAAAAGAAUUUGGACCUCACUCUUUAGAUAGUGGAGAAACUUCAGAGAUUUCAAAGCAAGUCAUUUCUCUCAGCAAUGGUUGAGAUGUAUAAGGAGCUGCUGAGGCGAAGAUGAAGAAGGCCUGUGAGGAGUCAUGAGGAACAAGUCUGCUCUGAGACAAGAGACAUCUUGAAAACUGCUCUCAAGGCCCACAUCAAGGGAGGAGUCUCAGGAUCAGAAGAGACUAUACCGGUUUGAUGCUGGGACCCCCUUCCCAAAAGUCAAGGAGUUUUAUGUCACUUCCCAGCAGUCCAGCACCUGGUUGGACCCGAUCGUAUCUGGGGACUCAGCCCCUGGUACCAAGGCUUUGGCUCUUGCUUUUGAUUGAUUGCCUCAGGGCUGGCAGGCUUCCCUCUGGCACCCACUCUCAGGAAGCCAUCUGCAGCUGCUGGCUUGUCACUUGUCACUCCCUACCCAAGAGGUGGCAGCAUUUCAAUGGUAGAGCAACAGAUCCUCAGCCUGCAGCUAGGCUAAUAGCUUCGAAGUUGAGAACUGGGGACUUAUUUCCAAGAGGCCUCACUCCUUCCAGUUCCAGUAAAGUCGUAAUGGCUAAGGGUGUGGACUUCAAGGAGAUAGUGAGCCUCAGUAUUUCCUACCCUGAAUCAGGACAACUGCAGGAAAAUAUUUGUAGCGGACACUCAAUAAAUGUUAAUUGAAUGUGACAGGCCUUGUGCACACACCUAGGAAGAAGAGUCCGUGUUCUCCCAGAGUUUUGAUUCCAGAAGAAAAGGAGAAGAGACUCUUGAGCAGCACCUCUUUACUCUGCUUUUUCCCCCAGUUUCAGCAAUGCCUGUCCAUUUCAUUGGCUUGUUGCUCUUUUGCUAUUAGAUACUACUGCCCCAAAGCAACUCCUGCACCUGGUGAGGAGUUCUGUGACCAACAAAACAAAACAAAAUUUAGACAUACAAGAAAUAAAAAUAAAAGUCACACAAUAAUGAGACUUUUUAAGGAUCUAUACCCUUGACAGAAU